This 450-nucleotide ribosomal RNA is filed under the name uncultured bacterium. Its description in RNAcentral is "partial 16S ribosomal RNA". It matches the Rfam family "Bacterial small subunit ribosomal RNA", at positions 354 to 796 of the family's 1533-position model. The record is from RNAcentral.
GUGGGGAAUUUUGGACAAUGGGCGCAAGCCUGAUCCAGCAAUGCCGCGUGCAGGAAGAAGGCCUUCGGGUUGUAAACUGCUUUUGUACGGAACGAAACGGUCCUGGCUAAUACCCGGGGCUAAUGACGGUACCGUAAGAAUAAGCACCGGCUAACUACGUGCCAGCAGCCGCGGUAAUACGUAGGGUGCGAGCGUUAAUCGGAAUUACUGGGCGUAAAGCGUGCGCAGGCGGUGCUGUAAGACAGGCGUGAAAUCCCCGGGCUCAACCUGGGAAUUGCGCUUGUGACUGCAGUGCUGGAGUGCGGCAGAGGGGGAUGGAAUUCCGCGUGUAGCAGUGAAAUGCGUAGAUAUGCGGAGGAACACCGAUGGCGAAGGCAAUCCCCUGGGCCUGCACUGACGCUCAUGCGCGAAAGCGUGGGGAGCAAACAGGAUUAGAUACCCUUGUAGUCC